Molecule: long non-coding RNA, 1381 nt
Filed under: Gouania willdenowi (blunt-snouted clingfish)
Lineage: Eukaryota; Metazoa; Chordata; Actinopteri; Blenniiformes; Gobiesocidae
Description: lncRNA (ENSGWIG00000006527.1)
Source: RNAcentral
GAAAGUGAUGAAGAUGCCAGAAAAACAAAUGAGCUGAGAGUAGAAACUUCAACAAUAAGCCAUGUAAGACAAGAGUAUUGUUUUCUGUCUCUCUCAAAUUACAAUCUCUAAAGCCUUGUUUCUGUCCCAGACUCAAUGCUCCCCUUCUAGUCUCUUUUUUAAAUGAAUAUUGGGCAUGUGUGUUCUUCCAAGGAUAGUGAUGAAGACAGCCAAACAGAAGAGCAGAGAGCAGAAACUUUUAAUGAAGCACAGGUGAAACGAAACUACAACCAUUACUCUUUUUCUGUCUCUGAAACUACACAACUUUCACAGUCUUAUCUCUUCUUCUUUUUCUGAUGUUUUUGAUGACUAAUGGACUUUUGUUCUUCCUCUAUGGUCCAUCAUGUUCACAAAAGAGCUCUCAGAGCAAUGAUGACGCUGGCAGCCAAACAGAAGUGCAAAGAGCAGACCUUUCCACAUUGGAACAGAAAGAACUUCAGCAUAUUGCUCACCUGUGGAACACCCACAUCAUUCAGAGAAGCAGAAAUGCAGUUGCACCUAGUGGCCGGCCUCACAUGAUGUACAUGCUUCCUCAGCUUUUUGGGGAAAGGACCAUCUCAAACAUGCAUCUGUGCAAGCAGUACAAACAUGCAGAGCACAAUGCAUACAACGAGGACCCUACCCAUGUGAUGAGACUGCCAUCCACUGGAAGGAUAAGUCCCUAGUCUUAGGGUCACAGACAGUGGUCACUAGGGUUGGGCAUCGUUUGGAUUUUACCGAUGCCCGCCCCCCAAGCAAAGGCCACAGCCCCCCCACCAGCAUCCCGGGCUGACAGGAGACUCCCACGCCAAACCCAACGGGAGAGCAGGCGCAGGGCGAAGGCGGAGGAGGAGGGGAGGACGAGACGGGACAGAGAGCAAGAGAAAGAGUGGCAGAGAAACAUGCAGGCCCCCAGCCCCAAGGGCCACCCAGACGUGCAUGGAGGAGGCAGGAGAGUAACACCAAACCACCCAGGGACCACGAGAGCACCUGAAAGGGAAGCACGCCCGCGCAGAGGCACCCAACACACCCCAGCAAGCCACCCAGAUGUGAUUGAUCCACUGAAGCAGAGGAUGAAUGCUGUAACCAUCACUGCUGUGUUACACAUGGACCAAAGUUUCCUCUCAGCCUGUUGUUAAUAGAAAUGAAACACUUUCUCAUCUGCUUUGCUUCAGUUCAUUUAGGGCCAACAUUGUUGAAUUGAUUGAUCACCACAUUUGACACUACACAGAUAUACAGUAUGUAUGAAUAACGUGCUUCAAGUAGAGAAAAUAAGACAUGAAAGCAUUAGAAAAUGAGUGUUUUUCCUCUUUUUUAAUGUAAUAUCUUUAUGUAGGUCAAACAGUCAAACAUUGUUUUGUGU